AGUGAACGCUGGCGGUAGGCCUAACACAUGCAAGUCGAACGGCAGCACAGUAAGAGCUUGCUCUUACGGGUGGCGCGUGUCGGACGGGUGCGGAAUACAUCGGAAUCUACUUUUUCGUGGGGGAUAACGUAGGGAAACUUACGCUAAUACCGCAUACGACCUCCGGGGGAAAGCAGGGGAUCUUCGGACCUUGCGCGAUUGUAUGAGCCGAUGUCGGAUUCGCUAGUUGGCGGGGUAAAGGCCCACCAAGGCGACGAUCGGUAGCUGGUCUGAGAGGAUGAAUAGACACAUGGGAAGAGAGAAUGGGCAGAGACACCGAAGGGAGGCAGCAGUGGAGAAUCUUGGAGAAUGGGCGAAAGCGUGAUACAGCAAAAUGGGGUGAGGGAAGAAGGAGUAAGGGUUGGAAAGUGAUGAUGUCGGGAAAGAAAAGAAGCAGGUUAACACCCGACGGUAAUGACGGUGCCGAAAGAAUAAGCACCGGCUAACUUCGUG
This 492-nucleotide ribosomal RNA is filed under the name uncultured bacterium. Its description in RNAcentral is "partial 16S ribosomal RNA". It matches the Rfam family "Bacterial small subunit ribosomal RNA", at positions 30 to 507 of the family's 1533-position model. The record is from RNAcentral.